RNAcentral lists this ribosomal RNA (427 nucleotides) under uncultured eukaryote. RNAcentral describes it as "SSU rRNA". It matches the Rfam family "Eukaryotic small subunit ribosomal RNA", at positions 16 to 436 of the family's 1831-position model. The record is from RNAcentral.
GCCAGUAGUCAUAUGCUUUUCUCAAAGAUUAAGCCAUGCAAGUCUGAGUAUAAUUGUUUUACGGUGAAACUGCGAAUGGCUCAUUAAAUCAGUUAUAGUUUAUUUGAUGCUAUAGGCCGCAAGGUCACUACAUGGAUAUCUGUAGUAACAUAGAGCUAAUACAUGCAAUAUAGUCUGACUUUUUGGAAGGACUAGCACUUAUUAGAUAUUAAACCAAUCCCAGCAAUGGGUUUUUUGGUGAUUCAUAGUAACUGAACAAAUCACAUAGUCUUGUACUGGUGAUGUUUCAUUCAAAUUUCUGCCCUAUCAACUAGAUGGUAGUAUAUAGGACUACCAUGGUUGUAACGGGUAACGGAGGAUUAGGGUUUGAUUCCGGAGAAGGAGCAUGAGAAACGGCUACUAUUUCUAAGGAAAGACAGCAGGCGCG